Molecule: ribosomal RNA, 250 nt
Filed under: uncultured bacterium
Lineage: Bacteria
Description: partial 16S ribosomal RNA
Rfam family: Bacterial small subunit ribosomal RNA
Source: RNAcentral
UACGGAGGGGGCUAGCGUUGUUCGGAAUUACUGGGCGUAAAGGGCGCGUAGGCGGCGAUUUAAGUUAGGCGUGAAAGCCCCGGGCUUAACCUGGGAACUGCGCUUGAUACUGGAUUGCUUGAGGACGGAAGAGGGUAGUGGAAUUCCCAGUGUAGAGGUGAAAUUCGUAGAUAUUGGGAAGAACACCAGUGGCGAAGGCGACUACCUGGUCCGUUUCUGACGCUGAGGCGCGAAAGCGUGGGGAGCAAAC